CAGUUUGUAGACUUUGUAGUCGAUCAUAUUGCAUAAACGUUGGACGUCUUAACCAGUAUAGCCUACACUUAGUAGAGAGCUUAGCAGACUUCUUAUUUAAGACCUGACUCCUAGACUUUUACAUCAAAUAAUUAUACAUUUUUCCAACACAGUUUAAUCUUGCAUAUCUUGCCCUGUUCAUCAGUACAUCUUUAAUAUUGU
Paramuricea clavata is the source of this 201-nucleotide non-coding RNA. NCBI's taxonomy places the organism in Eukaryota, Metazoa, Cnidaria, Anthozoa, Malacalcyonacea, Plexauridae. The record is from the annotation of a GenBank genome assembly.